UUAAAGAGAAUAUGCCCUUCGGGGUAGUAUCUCCCACCCUUUGUUUAUAUUACCUUUGUUGCUUUGGCAGGCCCGUCUUUGGACCACCGGCUUCGGCUGGUCAGUGCUUGCCAGAGAACCCAAAACUCUUAUUAUUAAUGUCGUCUGAGUACUAUAUAAUAGUUAAAAACUUUCAACAACGGAUCUCUUGGUUCUGGCAUCGAUGAAGAACGCAGCGAAAUGCGAUAAGUAAUGUGAAUUGCAGAAUUCAGUGAAUCAUCGAAUCUUUGAACGCACAUUGCGCCCUCUGGUAUUCCGGGGGGCAUGCCUGUUCGAGCGUCAUUACAACCCUCAAGCUCUGCUUGGUAUUGGGCUUCACCAGUUCUGGUGUGCCUCAAAAUCAGUGGCGGUGCCAUUCGGCUUCAAGCGUAGUAAUUCUUCUCGCUUUGGAGACCCGGGUGUGUGCCUGCCAACAACCCCCAAUUUAAAGGUUGACCUCGGAUCAGGUAGGGAUACCCGCUGAACUUAA
Molecule: ribosomal RNA, 508 nt
Filed under: uncultured fungus
Lineage: Eukaryota; Fungi
Description: eukaryotic LSU rRNA
Rfam family: 5.8S ribosomal RNA (bases 168-321)
Source: RNAcentral